RNAcentral lists this ribosomal RNA (1436 nucleotides) under uncultured bacterium. RNAcentral's name for it is "bacterial SSU rRNA". It matches the Rfam family "Bacterial small subunit ribosomal RNA". The record is from RNAcentral.
UCUACAGGCUUAACACAUGCAAGUCGAGGGGCAGCAUGGUCUUAGCUUGCUAAGGCCGAUGGCGACCGGCGCACGGGUGAGUAACACGUAUCCAACCUGCCGUCUACUCUUGGACAGCCUUCUGAAAGGAAGAUUAAUACAAGAUGGCAUCAUGAGUCCGCAUGUUCACAUGAUUAAAGGUAUUCCGGUAGACGAUGGGGAUGCGUUCCAUUAGAUAGUAGGCGGGGUAACGGCCCACCUAGUCUUCGAUGGAUAGGGGUUCUGAGAGGAAGGUCCCCCACAUUGGAACUGAGACACGGUCCAAACUCCUACGGGAGGCAGCAGUGAGGAAUAUUGGUCAAUGGGCGAGAGCCUGAACCAGCCAAGUAGCGUGAAGGAUGACUGCCCUAUGGGUUGUAAACUUCUUUUAUAAAGGAAUAAAGUCGGGUAUGGAUACCCGUUUGCAUGUACUUUAUGAAUAAGGAUCGGCUAACUCCGUGCCAGCAGCCGCGGUAAUACGGAGGAUCCGAGCGUUAUCCGGAUUUAUUGGGUUUAAAGGGAGCGUAGAUGGAUGUUUAAGUCAGUUGUGAAAGUUUGCGGCUCAACCGUAAAAUUGCAGUUGAUACUGGAUAUCUUGAGUGCAGUUGAGGCAGGCGGAAUUCGUGGUGUAGCGGUGAAAUGCUUAGAUAUCACGAAGAACUCCGAUUGCGAAGGCAGCCUGCUAAGCUGCAACUGACAUUGAGGCUCGAAAGUGUGGGUAUCAAACAGGAUUAGAUACCCUGGUAGUCCACACGGUAAACGAUGAAUACUCGCUGUUUGCGAUAUACUGCAAGCGGCCAAGCGAAAGCGUUAAGUAUUCCACCUGGGGAGUACGCCGGCAACGGUGAAACUCAAAGGAAUUGACGGGGGCCCGCACAAGCGGAGGAACAUGUGGUUUAAUUCGAUGAUACGCGAGGAACCUUACCCGGGCUUAAAUUGCAGAUGAAUUACGGUGAAAGCCGUAAGCCGCAAGGCAUCUGUGAAGGUGCUGCAUGGUUGUCGUCAGCUCGUGCCGUGAGGUGUCGGCUUAAGUGCCAUAACGAGCGCAACCCUUGUUGUCAGUUACUAACAGGUUCCGCUGAGGACUCUGACAAGACUGCCAUCGUAAGAUGUGAGGAAGGUGGGGAUGACGUCAAAUCAGCACGGCCCUUACGUCCGGGGCUACACACGUGUUACAAUGGGGGGUACAGAGGGCCGCUACCACGCGAGUGGAUGCCAAUCCCCAAAACCUCUCUCAGUUCGGACUGGAGUCUGCAACCCGACUCCACGAAGCUGGAUUCGCUAGUAAUCGCGCAUCAGCCACGGCGCGGUGAAUACGUUCCCGGGCCUUGUACACACCGCCCGUCAAGCCAUGGGAGCCGGGGGUACCUGAAGUGCGUAACCGCGAGGAGCGCCCUAGGGUAAAACUGGUGACUGGG